RNAcentral lists this ribosomal RNA (1446 nucleotides) under uncultured organism. Its description in RNAcentral is "16S ribosomal RNA". It matches the Rfam family "Bacterial small subunit ribosomal RNA". The record is from RNAcentral.
CAGGCUUAACACAUGCAAGUCGAGGGGCAUCAGGAAGAAAGCUUGCUUUCUUUGCUGGCGACCGGCGCACGGGUGAGUAACACGUAUCCAACCUGCCCUUUACUCGGGGAUAGCCUUUCGAAAGAAAGAUUAAUACCCGAUAGCAUAAUGAUUCCGCAUGGUUUCAUUAUUAAAGGAUUCCGGUAAAGGAUGGGGAUGCGUUCCAUUAGGUUGUUGGUGAGGUAACGGCCCACCAAGCCUUCGAUGGAUAGGGGUUCUGAGAGGAAGGUCCCCCACAUUGGAACUGAGACACGGUCCAAACUCCUACGGGAGGCAGCAGUGAGGAAUAUUGGUCAAUGGGCGCUAGCCUGAACCAGCCAAGUAGCGUGAAGGAUGAAGGCUCUAUGGGUCGUAAACUUCUUUUAUAUAAGAAUAAAGUGCAGUAUGUAUACUGUUUUGUAUGUAUUAUAUGAAUAAGGAUCGGCUAACUCCGUGCCAGCAGCCGCGGUAAUACGGAGGAUCCGAGCGUUAUCCGGAUUUAUUGGGUUUAAAGGGAGCGUAGGUGGACUGGUAAGUCAGUUGUGAAAGUUUGCGGCUCAACCGUAAAAUUGCAGUUGAUACUGUCAGUCUUGAGUACAGUAGAGGUGGGCGGAAUUCGUGGUGUAGCGGUGAAAUGCUUAGAUAUCACGAAGAACUCCGAUUGCGAAGGCAGCUCACUGGACUGCAACUGACACUGAUGCUCGAAAGUGUGGGUAUCAAACAGGAUUAGAUACCCUGGUAGUCCACACAGUAAACGAUGAAUACUCGCUGUUUGCGAUAUACAGUAAGCGGCCAAGCGAAAGCAUUAAGUAUUCCACCUGGGGAGUACGCCGGCAACGGUGAAACUCAAAGGAAUUGACGGGGGCCCGCACAAGCGGAGGAACAUGUGGUUUAAUUCGAUGAUACGCGAGGAACCUUACCCGGGCUUAAAUUGCAGUGGAAUGAUGUGGAAACAUGUCAGUGAGCAAUCACCGCUGUGAAGGUGCUGCAUGGUUGUCGUCAGCUCGUGCCGUGAGGUGUCGGCUUAAGUGCCAUAACGAGCGCAACCCUUAUCUUCAGUUACUAACAGGUCAUGCUGAGGACUCUGGAGAGACUGCCGUCGUAAGAUGUGAGGAAGGUGGGGAUGACGUCAAAUCAGCACGGCCCUUACGUCCGGGGCUACACACGUGUUACAAUGGGGGGUACAGAAGGCAGCUAGCGGGUGACCGUAUGCUAAUCCCAAAAGCCUCUCUCAGUUCGGAUCGAAGUCUGCAACCCGACUUCGUGAAGCUGGAUUCGCUAGUAAUCGCGCAUCAGCCACGGCGCGGUGAAUACGUUCCCGGGCCUUGUACACACCGCCCGUCAAGCCAUGGGAGCCGGGGGUACCUGAAGUACGUAACCGCAAGGAUCGUCCUAGGGUAAAACUGGUGACUGGGGCUAAGUCAUAAC